AAAAAAUCCCCAAAAAUUUCCCAAAAUUCCCCAAAAUUCCCCAAAAAUCCCAAAAAAUCCCCAAACCCCCCCAAAUUCCCGAAUUCCCUCCGCAGGUUCCGAGCCCUCUCUCCUUCUCCGCUUCCGGGCCGAGCUCGAUCCCGGGAGGCUCCGGAGCCGCGGAAUUUUCGCUUCCGGAACCUUCCAGAACGGGAGCCUCCGGAUGGGGGAGGGGCGGAGCUGCCGGACCCUCGAGAUCUUCUCCAAGGGCUGCCCCCAGGACACGCUGACCCCUCUGACCCUUCGGGUGACCCUCGGUGGUCUCGGGGAGCCUCUGGAAGCGGCCGGAGGGCUCCGGCCACAGCUCGGACCCGACUCGGACACGGCCGUGACGGCCUCGCUCCCGUUCGAGCACGACUGCGGCCCCGAUAAUUCCUGCCAGGACGAGCUCCACGUCGGCCUCAAAUUGGAGGGGUGAGGAGGGAAUUUUGGGGGAAUUUUGGGGAAUUUUGGGGAUUUUGGGGAAUUUGGGGAAUUUUGGGGAUUUUUGGGAAAUUUUGGGGGAUUUUGAGGAUUUUUAAAGGGAUUUUUGGGGAUUUUUUGGGGUUUUUAAAGGGAUUUUUUUUGGAUUUUUGGGGGUUUUUAAAGGGAUUUUUUGGGGAUUUUUUGGGGGUUUUUAAAGGGAUUUUUUGGGGGAUUUUUGGGGUUUUUAAAGGGAUUUUUUUGGGAUUUUUUUAGGAUUUUUUUUGAUUUUUAGAGGGAUUUUUAUGGGAUUUUUUGGGGAUUUUUGGGGAUUUUUGGGGGAUUUUAAAAGGGAUUUUUUGGGGAUUUUUGGGGGGUUUUUAAAGGGAUUUUUUUGGGAUUUUUGGGGGUUUUUAAAGGGAUUUUUUUUAUUUUUGGGGGGAUUUUUUGGGGAUCUUUUUGGGAUUUUUUUGGGAUUUUUUUGGGAUUUUUUAGGCUUUUUUAGGAUUUUUAAAGGGAUUUUUUUGGGAUUUUUUUAGGCUUUUUUGGGGUUUUUAAAGGGAUUUUUUUGGGGAUUUUUUAGGAUUUUUUGGGGUUUUUAAAGGGAUUUUUUUGGGAUUUUUGGGGGAUUUUUAAAGGGAUUUUUUUGGGGAUUUUUGGGGGAUAUUAAAGGGAUUUUUUUGGGAUUUUUGAGGAUUUUUUUUGAUUUUUAAAGGGAUUUUUUUUUGAUUUUUUGGGGGAUUUUUGGGAGGAUUUUUUUGGGAUUUUUUUUGAUUUUUAAAGAGAUUUUUUUGGGAUUUUUUUGGGAUUUUUUUGGGAUUUUUUUGGGAUUUUUUAGGAUUUUUUGGGAUUUCUAAAGGGAUUUUUUUUGGAUUUUUGGGGAUUUUUAAAGGGAUUUUUUUUGAUUUUUUGGGGGAUUUUUCUGCGAUUUUGGGGCCUCCCAAAAUGAAUUUUUUUGGAUUUUUUGGGGGGAUUUUUCUG
RNAcentral lists this long non-coding RNA (1422 nucleotides) under Cyanistes caeruleus (blue tit). RNAcentral's name for it is "lncRNA (ENSCCEG00000007285.1)". Lineage: Eukaryota; Metazoa; Chordata; Aves; Passeriformes; Paridae. The record is from RNAcentral.